AGAAUCAACGCUGGCGGCGUGCCUAACACAUGCAAGUCGCACGAGAAAGGGUCUUCGGAUCUGAGUAAAGUGGCGCACGGGUGAGUAACACGUGACUAAUCUACCCUCGAGUGGGGAAUAACCUCUGGAAACCUGGGCUAAUACCGCAUAACACUUACGAGUCAAAGCAGCAAUGCGCUUGGGGAGGAGGUCGCGGCAGAUUAGCUAGUUGGCGGGGUAAUGGCCCACCAAGGCAAUGAUCUGUAUCCGGCCUGAGAGGGCGCACGGACACACUGGAACUGAAACACGGUCCAGACUCCUACGGGAGGCAGCAGUGGGGAAUUUUGCGCAAUGGGGGAAACCCUGACGCAGCAACGCCGCGUGGAGGAUGAAGUCUCUUGGGACGUAAACUCCUUUCGAUAGGGAAGAUAAUGACUGUACCUAUAGAAGAAGCCCGGCUAACUUCGUGCCAGCAGCCGC
This 459-nucleotide ribosomal RNA is filed under the name uncultured bacterium. RNAcentral describes it as "SSU rRNA". It matches the Rfam family "Bacterial small subunit ribosomal RNA", at positions 26 to 518 of the family's 1533-position model. The record is from RNAcentral.